RNAcentral lists this long non-coding RNA (1334 nucleotides) under Brassica rapa (field mustard). RNAcentral describes it as "long non-coding RNA (BRAP_LNC004974)". The record is from RNAcentral. Lineage: Eukaryota; Viridiplantae; Streptophyta; Magnoliopsida; Brassicales; Brassicaceae.
UCAAACAAGUCGUAUAAGCCGAGAACUUUUCGCGGACUUUACAUCGAUACGAAUCAGGAAGAAAUCGCGACAGGAAAAACGAUAGCCGGUUAGUCGCCGCACAAUCCUUAAACCGAAAGUAAACCUAGGUCUUGCCCUAAACCCAGCGCACUGGUCUCUAACAUCUCGAAGGCAUGAUAUCGAAAGAUAAGAGAUUCUUAAACCACGCCUCUAUGUUACGUUCGAUACCUUCAGCGCCCCCGCGGAGUUCACAUCUCGCGGAAGAACUCUCGAAACAGGUCUCGAAUAAAACAUUUCACAAUCGAAGAAGGAUAUGAGACGACAACUCAUCACCUUCCUCCUCACUAUUCACAAAUUCAUAAAAAGCGUUAUCCGAUUAUCAUAUUAUAAAGCCGCAGAGCGGCAGGGAUUCAAAGCCACACACGGCCAGUCCCGAAAUACAAACAAGGCCAUUCAAGGCCAAAACAUAAAGACAUAAAAAAAAAAAAAAAAAAAAAAAUCUCUCGCAAGAGAUGUAACCCAAAUCACCCUCAGAACUUACGCCCCCUCUUCACCCGCCGCCUCGUCUGAGCAUGGAGCCGCGUCACUUCCAUUCUCUCCGACCAUCGGAUCUUUCCCCUCUGGGUCUUCUGAACACGUCGGAAGGAAGCAAGCGGAUUUUAGGUCAGCCAGGAUGAGACCGAAAUCGCCAUCCUCGGCCGCCAUAUCUCCCUUACAGCCGGACAGUCGGGCCUCUUCGGCCUCCAAGGUCGGGGGAGUCUCACUUUGGAACGACCGAACUACGGCCAUCCCGCCCUCAAUCGUCGCCAAAGCGAAAUCCCUGCUCCGGAUACACUCGAGGGAAUCCAGGGAAGCGGAAAUCUUCGCCAAGCGGACCUGAAACUCCGCGCGAAGGGCAUCCGUAGCCUCUUGGAUCCCGCGGCGCGCUAGUCCAGCGUCGCUCUCGAUUUGACGCUGGAGUCGACGCACUUCCGAGGAUUUGGCCUUCCUGGCCUUCUUUUCUUAAGUAAAGAACUCGCCGUCUUCCCGAGGUCCCUCUCAAGCUCUCCUAUCGCAACCUCGAGCUUCGACACUUUCGCAGAGUGAGAAUCCUCGACAGCCGUCAACAUAGCCUCGGUUUCGGACCAUCUCCCCUGAAGCUCCACCAACUCCCCGGAAAGACGACUGGUCUCAGAGCCGCAUUCGCUGAUCAUCCCAUCGAUCAACGAUAUGAACUGCGAACGGUAAAAAUUCCUAAGAUUAAGUCCGUAAAGAGAAUGCACGAAAGACGAUCGAGAAUUCAAACAAGAAACAAACCUUUCCACGAAGUCCCGAUGCUAGGCUCGACCCACCUC